Planktothrix serta PCC 8927 is the source of this 243-nucleotide non-coding RNA. NCBI's taxonomy places the organism in Bacteria, Bacillati, Cyanobacteriota, Cyanophyceae, Oscillatoriales, Microcoleaceae. The record is from Rfam.
GUCAGCACCCCGUACUGAAGCGACGGGGCACCAGGCGCGAAGCGCAGGCUUCGCGCCUGGUGCCUCACCUUCAGUGAUAGUUGACCAGCCUAAGUCUUAAUUGACUACGUUUUUUGAGUCAUGACACCCUGUGGAUGCGUAGCUAGUCCCUGGCUCUGUCGUUAGUAGUUAAACAUCUUUAUCGGGUUAAGGAAGUGCUACUAGCCUAACAAGCUCUUAAAACCUUGGCGAAGCUAACUUUAC